Molecule: microRNA precursor, 94 nt
Filed under: Equus caballus (horse)
Lineage: Eukaryota; Metazoa; Chordata; Mammalia; Perissodactyla; Equidae
Description: mir-544 microRNA precursor family
Rfam family: mir-544 microRNA precursor family
Source: Rfam by way of RNAcentral
CUCACCUGGGGAUCUUGUUAAAAUGCUGAUUCUCAUUCAGUAGGUCUGGGGUACCUAGAUUCUGCAUUUCUAAUAAGCCCCCAGGGGCUGCUGG